Molecule: non-coding RNA, 144 nt
Organism: Gossypium hirsutum (cotton)
Lineage: Eukaryota; Viridiplantae; Streptophyta; Magnoliopsida; Malvales; Malvaceae
Source: Rfam
AAGUUAAAAUGUCAUCUAUUUGUACUAUUAAAAACUGGGUGAUUGAUAGAAUGACCAAAUAGUGAAAUGUGACAUGUCACGUGUAUCUUGUGUUGAUGUAAAAUGACGAGUUUUUAACUGUAAAAUUGGAUGGAAUUUUUAGUA